GGUGAGAUGGCCGAGCGGUCUAAGGCGCCAGACUAAGGACUUGUCAGUCAUCUGGUCUCUUCGGGGGCGGGAGUUCGAAUCUCCCUCUCAUCA
This is a non-coding RNA of Arthromyces matolae, 93 nucleotides long. Lineage: Eukaryota; Fungi; Basidiomycota; Agaricomycetes; Agaricales; Lyophyllaceae. The record is from the annotation of a GenBank genome assembly.